This 540-nucleotide ribosomal RNA is filed under the name Burkholderia sp. RNAcentral describes it as "bacterial SSU rRNA". It matches the Rfam family "Bacterial small subunit ribosomal RNA", at positions 153 to 688 of the family's 1533-position model. Lineage: Bacteria; Pseudomonadati; Pseudomonadota; Betaproteobacteria; Burkholderiales; Burkholderiaceae. The record is from RNAcentral.
GAAAGCCGGAUUAAUACCGCAUACGAUCUACGGAUGAAAGCGGGGGAUCUUCGGACCUCGCGCUAUAGGGGCGGCCGAUGGCGGAUUAGCUAGUUGGUGAGGUAAAGGCUCACCAAGGCGACGAUCCGUAGCUGGUCUGAGAGGACGACCAGCCACACUGGGACUGAGACACGGCCCAGACUCCUACGGGAGGCAGCAGUGGGGAAUUUUGGACAAUGGGCGAAAGCCUGAUCCAGCAAUGCCGCGUGUGUGAAGAAGGCCUUCGGGUUGUAAAGCACUUUUGUCCGGAAAGAAAUCCUUGAUCCUAAUAUGGUCGGGGGAUGACGGUACCGGAAGAAUAAGCACCGGCUAACUACGUGCCAGCAGCCGCGGUAAUACGUAGGGUGCAAGCGUUAAUCGGAAUUACUGGGCGUAAAGCGUGCGCAGGCGGUGAUGUAAGACCGAUGUGAAAUCCCCGGGCUCAACCUGGGAACUGCAUUGGUGACUGCAUCGCUUGAGUAUGGCAGAGGGGGGUAGAAUUCCACGUGUAGCAGUGAAAUG